AUUGAACGCUGGCGGAAGGCUUAACACAUGCCAGUCGAGCGAUCGGCAGACGGGUGAGUAAUGUCUGGGAAACUGCAUGAUGGAGGGGGAUAACUACUGGAAACGGUAGCUAAUACCGAAUACAGUACGCUGUGCCCAGCUGGGAUUAGCUAGUAGGUGGGGUAAUGGCUCACCUAGGCGACGAUCCCUAGCUGGUCUGAGAGGAGUACCAUCCACACUGGAACUGAGACACGGUCCAGACUCCUACGGGAGGCAGCAGGGGGGAAUAUUGCACAAUGGGCGCAAGCCUGAUGCAGCCAUGCCGCGUGUGUGAAGAAGGCCUUCGGGUUGUAAAGCACUUUCAGCGAGGAGGCGUUACUCGCAGAAGAAGCACCGGCUAACGCCGUGCCAGCCGCCGCGGUAAUAC
Molecule: ribosomal RNA, 406 nt
Filed under: uncultured bacterium
Lineage: Bacteria
Description: partial 16S ribosomal RNA
Rfam family: Bacterial small subunit ribosomal RNA
Source: RNAcentral